This 349-nucleotide ribosomal RNA is filed under the name uncultured bacterium. RNAcentral's name for it is "partial 16S ribosomal RNA". It matches the Rfam family "Bacterial small subunit ribosomal RNA", at positions 338 to 685 of the family's 1533-position model. The record is from RNAcentral.
CCUACGGGGGGCAGCAGUGAGGAAUAUUGGUCAAUGGUCGGGAGACUGAACCAGCCAAGCCGCGUGAGGGAGGAAGGUACAGAGUAUCGUAAACCUCUUUUGUCAGGGAACAAAGGCGGGGACGUGUCCCCGGAUGAGUGUACCUGAAGAAAAAGCAUCGGCUAACUACGUGCCAGCAGCCGCGGUAAAACGGAGGAUGGGAGCGUUAUCCGGAUUUAUUGGGUUUAAAGGGUGCGCAGGCGGUCUGUUAAGUCAGGGGUCAAAGCCGGGGGCACAACCCGGGCCCGCCGUUGAAACUGGCAGUCUCGAGUUGGAGAGGAGAAUGCGGAAUGGGGGGGGUAGCGGUGAA